GCCGGGGUGGCUCAGCCUGGCGGAGCGUCGGACUCAUAAUCCGAAGGUCGCGGGUUCAAACCCCGCCCCCGGCA
Molecule: transfer RNA, 74 nt
Filed under: Thermoplasmatota archaeon
Lineage: Archaea; Methanobacteriati; Thermoplasmatota
Description: Candidatus Thermoplasmatota archaeon tRNA-Met
Rfam family: tRNA
About the family: Transfer RNA (tRNA) molecules are approximately 80 nucleotides in length. Their secondary structure includes four short double-helical elements and three loops (D, anti-codon, and T loops). Further hydrogen bonds mediate the characteristic L-shaped molecular structure. tRNAs have two regions of fundamental functional importance: the anti-codon, which is responsible for specific mRNA codon recognition, and the 3' end, to which the tRNAs corresponding amino acid is attached (by aminoacyl-tRNA synthetases). tRNAs cope with the degeneracy of the genetic code in two manners: having more than one tRNA (with a specific anti-codon) for a particular amino acid; and 'wobble' base-pairing, i.e. permitting non-standard base-pairing at the 3rd anti-codon position.
Source: RNAcentral